Molecule: ribosomal RNA, 788 nt
Filed under: uncultured bacterium
Lineage: Bacteria
Description: bacterial SSU rRNA
Rfam family: Bacterial small subunit ribosomal RNA
Source: RNAcentral
CAGUCGAACGCGUCUUGGUUAUUGAUGUUAAGUGCUUGCAUUUAACUGAUUUAACAUUGAGACGAGUGGCGAACUGGUGAGUAACACGUGGGUAACCUGCCCUUGAAGUAGGGGAUAACACUUGGAAACAGGUGCUAAUACCGUAUAACAACCAAAACCACCUGGUUUUGGUUUAAAAGAUGGCUUCGGCUAUCACUUUAGGAUGGACCCGCGGCGUAUUAGCUUGUUGGUAAGGUAACGGCCUACCAAGGCAAUGAUACGUAGCCGACCUGAGAGGGUAAUCGGCCACAUUGGGACUGAGACACGGCCCAAACUCCUACGGGAGGCAGCAGUAGGGAAUCUUCCACAAUGGACGAAAGUCUGAUGGAGCAACGCCGCGUGAGUGAUGAAGGGUUUCGGCUCGUAAAACUCUGUUGUUGGAGAAGAACAGGUGUGAGAGUAACUGUUCACAUCUUGACGGUAUCCAACCAGAAAGCCACGGCUAACUACGUGCCAGCAGCCGCGGUAAUACGUAGGUGGCAAGCGUUGUCCGGAUUUAUUGGGCGUAAAGCGAGCGCAGGCGGUUUCUUAGGUCUGAUGUGAAAGCCUUCGGCUUAACCGGAGAAGUGCAUCGGAAACCAGGAGACUUGAGUGCAGAAGAGGACAGUGGAACUCCAUGUGUAGCGGUGAAAUGCGUAGAUAUAUGGAAGAACACCAGUGGCGAAGGCGGCUGUCUGGUCUGUAACUGACGCUGAGGCUCGAAAGCAUGGAUAGCGAACAGGAUUAGAUACCCUGGUAGUCCAUGCCGU